CGGAAACAAGCAGUUUGCAAUCUUAAGGCUCUUUGCAGAUAGAACACUCCUUUAGAGGGCCAGUCAGUAAUCAAAGGUGUGCCCUUUACUACGUGUAAUAUCUCAGUCAUGUUAUUGUGUCUAAGAAAUAGUAAGAUACUCUCGGCAUGUUUUGAAGGAAUUUGAAGGAAAUGGAAUGGGACAUUCUUAUAUCUUUCCACUCAAUUAUACUUGAAUGAUUUUCUUCCUUUCAUCUCUUCAUAAUUCAUAAUUUAACCAAGUGACAAAGUGGUUGCUGCGCUUUUUAGCCUUGCAUUUCAUAGACUAAUCAGACAAAUUACUUUUGUUUAGAUGGCUUUCAUUUGGAAAACUGGUGGUACUAGGCAUAAACAUUAUGAGGUACAUGUGGUUAAUUUUUAUCUAGUAAGUUGAGCGUGGGUGGCCAUUUACUUGAAGAAAUUGAAUACUGCCAUUCUCUUUGAAAUUCCUGGCUAGCCAUUGUAGGAAAGUCGUGCAUGAAGCUAAAGCAACUCACCUGGAUUCUGUGAAUGGAAGGAUGACUCUUGAACUUGGAACAAUAACGAAUCAUUUUUGGUACAUCGAGAUUAAUGUAUCACCCUUAAUGGUGCAAAAAAUAUGCACAUCCUUUUUUGUGCAGACA
This is a long non-coding RNA of Populus euphratica (Euphrates poplar), 640 nucleotides long. RefSeq lists it as uncharacterized. NCBI's taxonomy places the organism in Eukaryota, Viridiplantae, Streptophyta, Magnoliopsida, Malpighiales, Salicaceae. The record is from RefSeq and is a predicted model, not a curated record. The transcript has 2 exons.